AUCCAGCUGACGAGUCCCGAAUAAGACGAAACGCGCGUCAAACUGGAU
RNAcentral lists this non-coding RNA (48 nucleotides) under Schistosoma mansoni. The record is from RNAcentral. Lineage: Eukaryota; Metazoa; Platyhelminthes; Trematoda; Strigeidida; Schistosomatidae.